Micropterus salmoides (largemouth bass) is the source of this 295-nucleotide long non-coding RNA. RefSeq lists it as uncharacterized. The transcript is spliced from 2 exons. Lineage: Eukaryota; Metazoa; Chordata; Actinopteri; Centrarchiformes; Centrarchidae. The record is from RefSeq and is a predicted model, not a curated record.
UUGGUAGAACCAACUUUUGGGGAAGUAGUUUUUGGGACUAUAUUUGCCUGCGCACCCACAGAGAGAGCAUGGCAUUGAAAUGUCUGUAGAGAGUUCGGUUGGUUCUCUCAUUUAUUCCUGGAAAAGGAUACUAUGAUUACAGCUUCUGAUCACUCAAAGACGCAACUGGUUAUCAACCUAUACCUACUGCCCCACACUGAUCUAUCAAGUCACAUUCAAGAAACUAUACCAUAUUAUUCCAUCACUGGUCUAUCAAACCAUCUCAAAGAAAAUAAAGAAUCAAGAAGUGAAAAGA